Molecule: transfer RNA, 91 nt
Filed under: Epichloe festucae Fl1
Lineage: Eukaryota; Fungi; Ascomycota; Sordariomycetes; Hypocreales; Clavicipitaceae
Description: tRNA-Pro
Rfam family: tRNA
About the family: Transfer RNA (tRNA) molecules are approximately 80 nucleotides in length. Their secondary structure includes four short double-helical elements and three loops (D, anti-codon, and T loops).
Source: RNAcentral
GGCUUCGUGGUUUAGUGGUAUAAUUCUCGCUUAGGGUAACACCCGAAGCACCGCUUGCGAGAGGUCCCGGGUUCGAUCCCCGGCGAAGCCC